GGGUUGUGAGGUUAAGCGACUAAGCGUACACGGUGGAUGCCUAGGCAGUCAGAGGCGAUGAAGGGCGUGCUAAUCUGCGAAAAGCGUCGGCAAGGUGAUAUGAACCGUUAUACCCGACGAUACCCGAAUGGGGAAACCCAGUGUGUUUCGACACACUAUCAUGGCAUGAAUACAUAGUGUCAUGAGGCGAACCGGGGGAACUGAAACAUCUCAGUACCCCGAGGAAAAGAAAUCAACCGAGAUUCCCCCAGUAGCGGCGAGCGAACGGGGAGGAGCCCAGAACCUGAAUCGGCUUGUGUGUUAGUGGAAGCGUCUGGAAAGUCGCACGAUACAGGGUGACAGUCCCGUACACAAAAAUGCACAAGUUGUGAGUUCGAUGAGUAGGGCGGGACACGUGGUAUCCUGUCUGAAUAUGGGGGGACCAUCCUCCAAGGCUAAAUACUCCUGACUGACCGAUAGUGAACCAGUACCGUGAGGGAAAGGCGAAAAGAACCCCGGCGAGGGGAGUGAAACAGAACCUGAAACCGUGUACGUACAAGCAGUGGGAGCCCUGAUUUAUCAGGGUGACUGCGUACCUUUUGUAUAAUGGGUCAGCGACUUAUAUUCUGUAGCAAGGUUAACCGUAUAGGGGAGCCGCAGGGAAACCGAGUCUUAACUGGGCGUUAAGUUGCAGGGUAUAGACCCGAAACCCGGUGAUCUAGCCAUGGGCAGGUUGAAGGUUGGGUAACACUAACUGGAGGACCGAACCGACUAAUGUUGAAAAAAUUAGCGGAUGACUUGUGGCUGGGGGGUGAAAGGCCAAUCAAACCGGGAGAUAGCUGGUUCUCCCCGAAAGCUAUUUAGGUAGCGCCUCGUGAAGUCAUCUUCGGGGGUAGAGCACUGUUUCGGCUAGGGGGGCCAUCCCGGCUUACCAACCCGAUGCAAACUGCGAAUACCGAAGAAUGUUAUCACGGGAGACACACGGCGGGUGCUAACGUCCGUCGUGAAGAGGGAAACAACCCAGACCGCCAGCUAAGGUCCCAAAGUCAUGGUUAAGUGGGAAACGAUGUGGGAAGGCCCAGACAGCCAGGAUGUUGGCUUAGAAGCAGCCAUCAUUUAAAGAAAGCGUAAUAGCUCACUGGUCGAGUCGGCCUGCGCGGAAGAUGUAACGGGGCUAAAACCAUGCACCGAAGCUGCGGCAGCGACGUUUAGGCGUUGUUGGGUAGGGGAGCGUUCUGUAAGCCGUUGAAGGUGGCCUGUGAGGGCUGCUGGAGGUAUCAGAAGUGCGAAUGCUGACAUAAGUAACGAUAAUGCGGGUGAAAAACCCGCACGCCGGAAGACCAAGGGUUCCUGUCCAACGUUAAUCGGGGCAGGGUGAGUCGACCCCUAAGGCGAGGCUGAAAAGCGUAGUCGAUGGGAAACAGGUUAAUAUUCCUGUACUCGGUGUUACUGCGAAGGGGGGACGGAGACGGCUAUGUCAUCCGGGCGACGGUUGUCCCGGUUUAAGCGUGCAGGUGGGUGGACCAGGCAAAUCCGGUCUGCUGUCAACACUGAGGCGUGAUGACGAGGCACUACGGUGCUGAAGUGACAGAUGCCCUGCUUCCAGGAAAAGCCUCUAAGCAUCAGGUAACAGUGAAUCGUACCCCAAACCGACACAGGUGGUCAGGUAGAGAAUACUCAGGCGCUUGAGAGAACUCGGGUGAAGGAACUAGGCAAAAUGGUGCCGUAACUUCGGGAGAAGGCACGCUGGGCAUGGUGAAGUCCCUUGCGGACGGAGCUGGGCCCAGUCGCAGAUACCAGCUGGCUGCAACUGUUUAAUAAAAACACAGCACUGUGCAAACACGAAAGUGGACGUAUACGGUGUGACGCCUGCCCGGUGCCGGAAGGUUAAUUGAUGGGGUUAUCCGCAAGGAGAAGCUCUUGAUCGAAGCCCCGGUAAACGGCGGCCGUAACUAUAACGGUCCUAAGGUAGCGAAAUUCCUUGUCGGGUAAGUUCCGACCUGCACGAAUGGCGUAAUGAUGGCCAGGCUGUCUCCACCCGAGACUCAGUGAAAUUGAACUCGCUGUGAAGAUGCAGUGUACCCGCGGCAAGACGGAAAGACCCCGUGAACCUUUACUAUAGCUUGACACUGAACCUUGAACCUUGAUGUGUAGGAUAGGUGGGAGGCUGAGAAAUGUGGACGCCAGUCUGCAUGGAGCCGACCUUGAAAUACCACCCUUUAAUGUUUGAUGUUCUAACGUGGGCCCGUAAACCGGGUUGCGGACAGUGUCUGGUGGGUAGUUUGACUGGGGCGGUCUCCUCCCAAAGCGUAACGGAGGAGCACGAAGGUUAGCUAAUCCUGGUCGGACAUCAGGAGGUUAGUGCAAAGGCAUAAGCUAGCUUGACUGCGAGAGUGACGGCUCGAGCAGGUGCGAAAGCAGGUCUUAGUGAUCCGGUGGUUCUGAAUGGAAGGGCCAUCGCUCAACGGAUAAAAGGUACUCCGGGGAUAACAGGCUGAUACCGCCCAAGAGUUCAUAUCGACGGCGGUGUUUGGCACCUCGAUGUCGGCUCAUCACAUCCUGGGGCUGAAGUAGGUCCCAAGGGUAUGGCUGUUCGCCAUUUAAAGUGGUACGCGAGCUGGGUUUAGAACGUCGUGAGACAGUUCGGUCCCUAUCUGCCGUGGGCGUUGGAAGAUUGAGGGGGGUUGCUCCUAGUACGAGAGGACCGGAGUGAACGCACCGCUGGUGUUCGGGUUGUCAUGCCAAUGGCACUGCCCGGUAGCUACGUGCGGAAGAGAUAACCGCUGAAAGCAUCUAAGCGGGAAACUUGCCCCGAGAUGAGUCUUCCCUGGGAACUUGAUUCCCCUGAAGGGACGUUCGAGACGAGGACGUUGAUAGGCUGGGUGUGUAAGCGUAGCGAUACGUUGAGCUAACCAGUACUAAUGACCCGAGAGGCUUAACCUUACAACACCGAAGGUGUUU
RNAcentral lists this ribosomal RNA (2940 nucleotides) under Dickeya dianthicola. RNAcentral's name for it is "23S ribosomal RNA". It matches the Rfam family "Bacterial large subunit ribosomal RNA". The record is from RNAcentral. Lineage: Bacteria; Pseudomonadati; Pseudomonadota; Gammaproteobacteria; Enterobacterales; Pectobacteriaceae.